Molecule: ribosomal RNA, 509 nt
Filed under: uncultured bacterium
Lineage: Bacteria
Description: bacterial SSU rRNA
Rfam family: Bacterial small subunit ribosomal RNA
Source: RNAcentral
AUGGCUCAGGAUGAACGCUAGCGACAGGCUUAACACAUGCAAGGUCGAGGGGCAGCAUAGAAGUAGCAAUACUUGGUGGCGACCGGCGCACGGGUGAGUAACGCGUAUGCAACCUACCUAUCAGGAGGGGGAUAACCCGGCGAAAGUCGGACUAAUACCGCAUAAAACAGGGGCACCGCAUGGUGAUAUUUGUUAAAGAUUAAUUGCUGAUAGAUGGGCAUGCGUUCCAUUAGGUAGUUGGUGAGGUAAUGGCUCACCAAGCCGACGAUGGAUAGGGGAACUGAGAGGUUGGUCCCCCACACUGGUACUGAGACACGGACCAGACUCCUACGGGAGGCAGCAGUGAGGAAUAUUGGUCAAUGGGCGAGAGCCUGAACCAGCCAAGUCGCGUGAAGGAAGAAGGAUCUAUGGUUCGUAAACUUCUUUUGCAGGGGAAUAAAGUGGAGGACGUGUCCUCUUUUGUAUGUACCCUGAGAAUAAGGAUCGGCUAACUCCGUGCCAGCAGCGGC